GGGGCCGUAGCUCAGUUGGGAGAGCGCUUGCAUGGCAUGCAAGAGGUCGAGGGUUCGAAUCCCUUAGGCUCCA
This 73-nucleotide transfer RNA is filed under the name Gammaproteobacteria bacterium. Its description in RNAcentral is "tRNA-Ala". It matches the Rfam family "tRNA". Rfam says of the family: Transfer RNA (tRNA) molecules are approximately 80 nucleotides in length. Lineage: Bacteria; Pseudomonadati; Pseudomonadota; Gammaproteobacteria. The record is from RNAcentral.